Long non-coding RNA from Gallus gallus (chicken), 344 nucleotides. The record is from Ensembl. Lineage: Eukaryota; Metazoa; Chordata; Aves; Galliformes; Phasianidae.
GUUGCAAACAGGAAAAGAGGAAUACAAAAUGAAGCCAAACCUCACUCAUCAUGUCACAGCACGUCUUCACAUCUUGGAUCCAGACACUGCAGGAAAGAACAAGUCAAGGUACCUAACAUUUGCCAGUGCUUAAGCAGAGAGCAAAUGCAUUGGAAAAUGAGCUGCUGCUUCUCUUAAGGACGCGAUUCAGGAGCAACACCAAAUGCAGGACCAGCAGAACGAACGAGGAAUUGUCCUGCUUUGUUUGGAAGCCGGGCACCAGAGAGCAGCAGCUCCCAGGAGUUGAGGAGCUGCCGAGCAGCAGAGCAGCGCUUGCAGUGGGGCAGCUAACUUCACAGAGUCAG